This is a long non-coding RNA of Solanum stenotomum, 1522 nucleotides long. RefSeq lists it as uncharacterized. The record is from RefSeq and is a predicted model, not a curated record. The transcript is spliced from 3 exons. Lineage: Eukaryota; Viridiplantae; Streptophyta; Magnoliopsida; Solanales; Solanaceae.
GGGGAUUUGAAAUUUGAGAUUGCAAAAUGAAAGUCUUCUGAAGAAGUCGUUGUGGAGGUACAUUGAGGAGAGAAAUGCUUUCUGGAAAGAGGUGAUUAAAGCCGAGUAUGGUGAGCUAACCCCAUGGUGUACAGAGAACACAGUUGAACCUUAAGGGGUGUGGGAGUAUGGAGAACAAUCAGAAGUUUGUGGCCUCAAAUGAAGGCAGACUUUUAUAUCAAAGUGGGAAGUGACAGUAAAACAAGAUUUUGAAAGGAUUUCUGGAUAGAACAGUUCCCUCUAAAGAAUCUCUUCCAAAUUUGUGUGAAUCCUGAUGCUAAUGUAGGUGCCUGUUGGGCCAGAACAGGGAUGGGAUUUAGCCUUCAGAAGACUUGUAAAUGAUUGGGAGGUGGAAAGGGUUGCAGAGUUACUAGGGAAGAUAGAUGGAAUGAGUACGUAUACAAUUUCCACAGACAAGAUGUUGUGGAAUCAUUAAAAAAAGUGGUCUUUAUUCAGUUAGCAGUGUCUACAGAAGAGGUCUCCAGCUGAUAGCUGGGGAUCCAAAACAUCUCUGGAACUAUUUCUGGAAUGGGGACAUUCCUACAAAAGUGAAAUGUCUCACUUGGCUAGUGAUGAAGAGGGCAUGUUUAACACAGGAAGUACUACAGAAGAAGGGCAGACAGCUGGUCCCUAGGUGCUUUUUAUGCAAUUUGACAAGAGAAACUGACAGCCACCUAUUCUUGCCUUGUAAUUUACAAAGCAAACCUGGAAUUUGUUUCUUUGCAUCUCUAGUCUGAACUGGACAAUGCCAGAACAUACUUUAGAGUUGUUAAAGAUCUGGGUAGUCUGAACUGGACAAUGCCAGAACAUACUUUAGAGUUGUUAAAGAGCUGGGUUAGGAGAGGAGGCAGCAAGAGUCAAAAGAGAUGGUGGAGUUAAGUCCAUCAUGUAUAUAUAAUUGAAAUUUUGUUACCAUUUGUUUCUUCCAUUUGCAUGCAUUUGUCUGGGGAUGAUCCUGCUGAACCCAAGCUUGAUAUGUGAAUCAUUUCCUCUUCAAGACAAGCUGAAGAGCCAUCCUGUCCAGAAAUCUCUUCACCAACUUCCAGCUUUUGGUCAUCACGAGCUAAGAGAUGCGGCUUCAUCUCAGAAGCUGCAGUUUCAACACAGAUGUUCUGGCUUAGCCUCUGCCUCUUUGUGAUGAUUUAACUUACUGGAUUCUCAGAAAUCUAAUGGUCAACCUGAAAAGCAAAGUGAUCAUAUCAUACCCAUUAGUGUAUGAAAUAUGAGCGAGUUGGUUUAUGUUUCAGUUUUGUUUGACCCAUUUUCAACUCAUUUGCCGGCACCAUUAAUAUCUUACGGGGAAGAGCCUUGCAUAUUCUUUAUAUGGAAAAGUAUUUAGUUUUUAUGUCACGAUAAAAUUAUCUUACAUGAGCAAAUUAAUGAUCAAUGCAUAAUGGCAUAUUGAUUCUUGAAAGAAACAUCAAGUAAGUUGAAUAUUGGUCACUAAAACAAGACAAGCAAGGCAUCCUUGUUGUCUAUUGAG